UAAUACGGGCAUCCUGUUAUAGUUUCUAUAAUAUCUGUUCACAAAUAUAAGAGAUACAUGGCAACCAUUUUUCAUGAGCAUUUAAAGUUCAUCUAAAUUCAUCAACAAUUUGGAAAUUAUUUUGUAUUUAAAAGUGUAUUAAAUGUUCAAUUGUAUAUGUUUUAGCUUAUGCUUAUAUUAAAAACUGUUAAAAAUUGAUCAUAGUCAUAUUAAUUACCAAAUUGAAUUAAAUAUGUAAAUUAUUGUUUUACAGGUUGUCAUACCCGUUCCCAUUAGCAACGAGGAGAGACAAACUUCUUUGAAAAAACAUUAUGCAAUUACCAAAAAGCUUCAGUGGCUGUCAUUAAAAUUCUUCAACUGUCGACAAUGCACAUAAUUGAUGAAGACUUUUAAACUAGACAUUUUUGAAUGGAUAAGUGUAUUCUUUUCAGUAAAACAUCCAAAGUGUCGCCUCGCCAAAUUACGUACAUUUUCAUUUAUUUCCAAAAAAUCAAUGAAAUAGAAGGAAAUAAUGGCUAAGAAUGUUCGAAUUAAAUGAUUGCCCCAAUAAUUUCUACCUGACGUGGAAUCUGCGGUAGGUAAUCAUUUCACAAUUAUUAGUGGUAAACAAAGUUCAGUAAAUUAGUAAACACGGUCAGAGGCUGUCUCAAAACAUAAUCCAAACCACUUGUCUGGGAUAGAGAAGUAAAACAAAUGUUGGUGAUUCACAGGAAUAUUGGUACUACCUACUCUGCGCACGACUAGUAAAUCGCAACUAAGAGAAAAUGUUGUUUCUCCAACGAUGAGUUAGAAGCAAAUGAACAGACGAAUAAACGAUUUGGAGGCCAUGAUUUUAAUUCACCCAGAAAAGCCUUAGAUACCCGAAAAUGUCUAAUUCACACACACUCAUGGGAUUAUAAUACUUAUAAUGUUUUUUCAAAACUGAAAUAUAUGAUGUACCACAUACACGGAACUGCGAAGUGGAGCCAAUGCAUUGACAAAUUUUCAGAUGUUGACUUUAGAAUAAACUAACUAACUUUGAGAAUAUUA
This 1029-nucleotide long non-coding RNA is filed under the name Acyrthosiphon pisum (pea aphid). RNAcentral describes it as "uncharacterized LOC100572635, transcript variant X2". Lineage: Eukaryota; Metazoa; Arthropoda; Insecta; Hemiptera; Aphididae. The record is from RNAcentral.